AAGACAGCUUCCACAAAGGGAGUGUGGAAGGGGACCCAAGUAUGGAAUCCAGGAGAGGAAAAGCAGCUUCCACAAGUGUGUAAGGGGACCCCAGAGAGGUACUCCAGCAGAAAUAAGGGCACUCCAUAAUUCUUGUCUCUUUGGGAGAGACCAUCUCCAUCAGCUGUAAACAAACAAA
This is a long non-coding RNA of Sapajus apella (tufted capuchin), 178 nucleotides long. RefSeq lists it as uncharacterized. The record is from RefSeq and is a predicted model, not a curated record. The transcript is spliced from 2 exons. Lineage: Eukaryota; Metazoa; Chordata; Mammalia; Primates; Cebidae.